This 71-nucleotide transfer RNA is filed under the name Xenopus tropicalis (tropical clawed frog). RNAcentral's name for it is "Xenopus (Silurana) tropicalis (western clawed frog) tRNA". It matches the Rfam family "tRNA". Rfam says of the family: Transfer RNA (tRNA) molecules are approximately 80 nucleotides in length. Their secondary structure includes four short double-helical elements and three loops (D, anti-codon, and T loops). Lineage: Eukaryota; Metazoa; Chordata; Amphibia; Anura; Pipidae. The record is from Rfam by way of RNAcentral.
GCACUAGAAGUGUAGGGGUAUUAUGCAAGAUUCCCAUUCUUGUGACCCGGGUUUGAGUCCUGGCUAGUGUA